GACAGAGGUGCCGAGCGUUAGGCGGAAUCACUGGGCUUAAAGCGUGUGUAGGCGGUCUUCUAAGUACCUUGUGAAAUCCCACAGCUCAACUGUGGAACUGCUCGGUAUACUGGUUGUCUUGAGCCACUUAGGGGCAGUCGGAACAGACGGUGGAGCGGUGAAAUGCGUAGAUAUCAGGAGGAACACCAAUGGCGAAGGCAGCUCGCUGGGACGUGACUGACGCUGAGACGCGAAAGCGUGGGGAGCAAACAGG
This 253-nucleotide ribosomal RNA is filed under the name uncultured bacterium. RNAcentral's name for it is "partial 16S ribosomal RNA". It matches the Rfam family "Bacterial small subunit ribosomal RNA", at positions 524 to 776 of the family's 1533-position model. The record is from RNAcentral.